AUUGAACGCUGGCGGCAUGCUUUACACAUGCAAGUCGAACGGCAGCACGGGGGCAACCCUGGUGGCGAGUGGCGAACGGGUGAGUAACACAUCGGAACGUGCCCAGUUGUGGGGGAUAACCUAUCGAAAGGUAGGCUAAUACCGCAUGAGCUCGGCAAGAGGAAAGCGGGGGACUCAGCGAUGGGCCUCGCGCGACUGGAGCGGCCGAUGUCCGAUUAGCUAGUGGUGGGGUAAAGGCUUACCAAGGCGACGAUCGGUAGCUGGUCUGAGAGGAUGAUCAGCCACACUGGGACUGAGACACGG
Molecule: ribosomal RNA, 303 nt
Filed under: uncultured bacterium
Lineage: Bacteria
Description: bacterial SSU rRNA
Rfam family: Bacterial small subunit ribosomal RNA
Source: RNAcentral